Molecule: ribosomal RNA, 506 nt
Filed under: uncultured Acholeplasma sp.
Lineage: Bacteria; Bacillati; Mycoplasmatota; Mollicutes; Acholeplasmatales; Acholeplasmataceae
Description: bacterial SSU rRNA
Rfam family: Bacterial small subunit ribosomal RNA
Source: RNAcentral
CUAUGCGCCUUGCCAGCCCCGCUCAGAAACUCAAAGGAAUUGACGGGACCCCGCACAAGCGGUGGAUCAUGUUGUUUAAUUCGAUGAUACGCGAAGAACCUUACCAGGUCUUGACACCCCCCGCGAUGCUUUAGAGAUAAAGCGGAGGUAUUCGGGGAGACAGGUGGUGCAUGGUUGUCGUCAGCUCGUGUCGUGAGAUGUUGGGUUAAGUCCCGCAACGAGCGCAACCCCUAUUGCUAGUUACCAUCAUUAAGUUGGGGACUCUAGCGAGACUGCCAGUGAUAAACUGGAGGAAGGUGGGGAUGACGUCAAAUCAUCAUGGCCCUUACGGCCUGGGCUACACACGUGCUACAAUGGUCGGUACAAAGGGUUGCCAAGCCGCGAGGUGGAGCUAAUCCCAUAAAACCGAUCGUAGUCCGGAUCGCAGUCUGCAACUCGACUGCGUGAAGUCGGAAUCGCUAGUAAUCGUGAAUCAGAAUGUCACGGUGAAUACGUUCCCGGGCCUU